UUUCCUAGCCGCCACUUCCUUCUUCCUUGUCUCUUCUUCCCCCCGGCAGCUCCACGCUCCCUGCCCAUGGCGUCUUCCUCUCCUCUCCCACGGCUGCAGCUGGGAGCUCGGCUCCUCCCCUUCUUCUUCCUCAAGCAGCAGGCGCCUCUCCCCUUCAGGCAUGGUGGUAGCUCCUCCUCUCUCUGGUUUUUACCGCACGAGCAGGAGCUCCCUGGGAGCACGCCGACGCCCCUGAUCCCCCAUUGGCCACGACCUUCUCUGCUCUUCUCCAUGGCCGGCGAGCAGCCCAGCAGCGAGCUCCUCCCCCUUUGCUGUCUUCUCCAACGCGCAGAAACUUCAGGGUCGCCCAGCUCUCCCACUCCAUGGGCGCGAGCUCCUCCUUCUUCCCAUGGAUGGCGCCCUGAUUUCUCCAGCAGCCCAAUGGCGUCCCUGUCCAUGGCGCCCCUGCAAUCUCCCUUUCCUCCCCGCGGCCAGCAAUGGCGCGGUGCCCCCUGCUUCUUCCUCCCGCAGCAAGGCAGCAAGCAGCCAUUCCCAUGGCCGAGCUCACCUCCCUGCCGCGAGCUCGCCAACAAUCUCCCCCACUCAGACCUCCAUUCCCCUUGCUGCUGCUCGUCGCGAGCUCUCUCUGGCUCCUUCCCCAAGUCCGGCUGGAGCUUGCCUCCUCCAUGGCCGGCGCCCAGCCGCAACUCCAAGCUCCCUGCACCCUCCUCCUCCAACGCCGGCCACCAAUUCACCAUCUCCAGCCGCGCGUCUUGCUCCUCCCUGCUCCCAGCCAGGGCGCCCAGAAAAUCCCCCAGCCGAGCCCCCUCCUCGCUGUCCUCCGUGGUGCCCGCCGGUUGUUCGACAAAAUGCGCAGCAAGCUCCGUCGUCGAUCUGUGCAGCCCCUAUUUGGUUGUCGUUCUGCCUCUGUCAACCUCCUCCGUGCACGUGCAACAGCAGCCGCUGCCCCUUCGCGUCGAGUGUGCCGACACGGAUCUACGCAGUCCCGACGCGAUGUUGUCAAACUCCGCCCCUUGCCGUCGUCAUGCCUCACGCAUCGCUCGUCGGCAAAGAGCCCAAACUAAUGGCAUGCCCGCGCGACAUGAGUCGGCCAGGUUGUUCGCCUUGAAUGA
Zea mays is the source of this 1112-nucleotide RNA transcript. It is a transcript of the gene named vegetative cell wall protein gp1, with no coding region annotated. The record is from RefSeq and is a predicted model, not a curated record. Lineage: Eukaryota; Viridiplantae; Streptophyta; Magnoliopsida; Poales; Poaceae. The transcript has 2 exons.